UGGGGAAUAUUGCACAAUGGGCGCAAGCCUGAUGCAGCCAUGCCGCGUGUAUGAAGAAGGCCUUCGGGUUGUAAAGUACUUUCAGCGGGGAGGAAGGGAGUAAAGUUAAUACCUUAGCUCAUUGACGUUACCCGCAGAAGAAGCACCGGCUAACUCCGUGCCAGCAGCCGCGGUAAUACGGAGGGUGCAAGCGUUAAUCGGAAUUACUGGGCGUAAAGCGCACGCAGGCGGUUUGUUAAGUCAGAUGUGAAAUCCCCGGGCUCAACCUGGGAACUGCAUCGGAUACUGGCAAGCUUGAGUCUCGUAGAGGGGAGUGGAAUUCCAUGUGUAGCGGUGAAAUGCGUAGAUAUAUGGAGGAACACCAGUGGCGAAGGCGGCUCUCUGGUCUGUAACUGACGCUGAGGCUCGAAAGCGUGGGGAGCAAACAGG
Molecule: ribosomal RNA, 429 nt
Filed under: Chloroflexota bacterium
Lineage: Bacteria; Bacillati; Chloroflexota
Description: Chloroflexi bacterium partial 16S ribosomal RNA
Rfam family: Bacterial small subunit ribosomal RNA
Source: RNAcentral